CGGAUAGAAGCCCGCUGGAUUGGGUGUUUAGCUGUUAACUAAGUUUUCGUGGGAUCGAAGCCCGCCUAUCUAG
RNAcentral lists this transfer RNA (73 nucleotides) under Holbrookia lacerata. RNAcentral's name for it is "tRNA-Asn". The record is from RNAcentral. RNAcentral also lists the same sequence under 1 other name. Lineage: Eukaryota; Metazoa; Chordata; Lepidosauria; Squamata; Phrynosomatidae.